AGCAGCCGCGGUAAUUCCAGCUCCAAUAGCGUAUAUUAAAGUUGUUGCAGUUAAAAAGCUCGUAGUUGAAUUUCGGGACCAAUUUGUUGGUCGUGCCUCGGUACGUACUGGUAUUAUUGGUUUCUCCCUUCUGAAGAACCAUGAUGCCAUUAAUUUGGUGUCGUGGGGAAUCAGGACUGUUACUUUGAAAAAAUUAGAGUGUUUAAAGCAGGCAUACGCUUGAAUACAUUAGCAUGGAAUAAUGAAAUAGGACGUUUGAUUCUAUUUUGUUGGUUUCUAGGAUCGACGUAAUGAUUAAUAGGGAUAGUUGGGGGCAUUAGUAUUCAAUUGUCAGAGGUGAAAUUCUUGGAUUUAUUGAAGACUAACUACUGCGAAAGCAUUUGCCAAGGAUGUUUUCAUUAAUCAAGAACGAAAGUUAGAGGAUCGAAGACGAUCAGAUACCGUCGUAGUCUUAACCAUAAACUAUGCCGACUAGGGAUCGGAUGAUGUUAAUUUUUAAUGUACUUAUUCGGCGCCUUAC
RNAcentral lists this ribosomal RNA (520 nucleotides) under uncultured Glomus. RNAcentral describes it as "SSU rRNA". It matches the Rfam family "Eukaryotic small subunit ribosomal RNA", at positions 569 to 1091 of the family's 1831-position model. The record is from RNAcentral. Lineage: Eukaryota; Fungi; Glomeromycota; Glomeromycetes; Glomerales; Glomeraceae.